GUUUCUAUAACUGUGCAAGAUAGUUGCAUCGAUAGAGAGAUAGAGGAUGAGGAUUUAGAGGUAGAUAGAGAGAGAGAGACUGAAAGGGAGACCAGAGAGGAAGAGAGAGAGGCAGAUAGGGAGACAAAGAGGAGAGAGGGAGGCAGAUGCCUAGAAAGAUAGGGAGACAGGGAUACGGAGAAAGGAGAGGGAAGCAGAAAAGGAGACAGUGGAGAGGGGGAGUUAGAAAGACAGAGAGAAACUGACAGUGAGGGGAAAAAAAGAGUAGAGCGAGGGAGAUAGAGAGAGAGGGAAACUGACAGGAUUCCAAUGCGGAUCAGAUAUCCCCACAGGAGUGAAACGACUUGCACUGGAGCCAGUGAGCAGGGGCUUGUGGGAAAAGGAGUACACCCAAUCGUAGUACUUACUGACAGGCACAAUGUGUUCUAUCUACUGCAAGAGAGGCCCCCUCACUGUGGCCCACAAGCAGCACACUAUGAAAAGUUCAACUGACAGCCUGGAGUGAGCCAGCCAGCAGGAGGAAUACGAAACAAGGUAAACGUUAUCUUUAUCUCAAUGAGGUGAACAUUUAAUUGCUAACGUUUUAGCCCUGAUUCAUACAAAUAUUAAGUGUCUAAGACGGGUUUGAUCCUGUUUCCUUGCUUGCUAGGUUAGUCAAGUUAGAUAGCUAGCUAGAUAGUUAGCUUGGUUGGACUGUUUGACCAACACCGAUAUACUCUCAUAAAUGUGAGGCUGACACAAAGUUUGGUUAAUCCUCUCAAUAAGUGUACAUUUCUGAGGCGUCCCAGUAAAUGUAUUUUAAUAACUUGACUUUCAUUCUUGUCUAAAGGUACUGGGACAUAUCCAGCUUGGUAGUUAGCUAGCCACAUGCGAAGGAACAGAGCUGCUUGUGGGUGCGCCGUUGCUGUGACCUUCUCCCACUCUCGUUUACGGCAGAAUUAAGUGGGGAAAGUCUCGAAAUUCUAUCAAAACCUCGGUGACAAAACUCCCUAAAGGCAGCCUGAAAAGUAGCUGAAUUUUUACCAGUAAAAGCCGCUGGAGGGGUCUGAAGACUCGCUAAAUAUAGUGACAACGUUGCUAAAUUGGCAACACUGACGACAAUGUCGCCACCCCCCCUGGAGGAUGAGAACCUGCGCCAUUGACAAACUUCAAGCUAUACUGGGUUUGCAACAAAUCAUAUCCUAUCCAACCACAGUUCAUUCUUCUAUAUCUCAGGUACACAAUUGUCUGAGUUGGUUUCUCUGGACAGCAUAUCUGACUGGCUAAAAAUCUAAUAAAUAUAUUGUUUGAGAUGUUUUUAAGAAGGAUAUUUUGUGUGCACAAAAUGUGUUUCCUGUCAAAUUCCGUAUGGGGAACACUGUAGUAAAUGUGUACUCAUGACAUAGAUGCAGAAAGUAAACAGCAUAGUGGGUAAAUUUCCACAACAACUAAGAGAGUUGAAGCGCGAGGCUCAACUUCCCUGCUGUUUUGGUUCCCUGGCGUCCAUGCUGUGAACACUGUACACUGUCAAGAAAACUUGUGCACAUGGGCCGAUACUGUGUGUGACUCACUCAUCUCAAUAUCUGCAAUGCUGCUCAUGGCAACGUCAUUUCACUGAGUCUAACUUUACUUGAAUAAAUGGCUAUCGUUUUACAGUGGAAUAUAACACAAUGUGUAAUUCUUUUUUGACACACCCCUCCCACUGGGCAAAAACUGGUUGAAUCAACAUUGUUUCCACGUAAUUUCAACACACAAAAAAAAUCUAGCGAUGUUGUUGAAUCAACUGAAAACUGAUUGGAUCUGAUAAAAGUAAUCAACGUACAGGGCAUUUAGCAUUUUU
Oncorhynchus kisutch (coho salmon) is the source of this 1819-nucleotide long non-coding RNA. The record is from Ensembl. Lineage: Eukaryota; Metazoa; Chordata; Actinopteri; Salmoniformes; Salmonidae.